UACGUAGGGGGCAAGCGUUGUCCGGAUUUAUUGGGCGUAAAGAGCGUGUAGGCGGUUUGGUAGGUCCGCUGUGAAAACUCGAGGCUCAACCUCGAGACGCCGGUGGAAACCAUCAGGCUAGAGUCCGGAAGAGGAGAGUGGAAUUCCUGGUGUAGCGGUGAAAUGCGCGGAUAUCAGGAAGAACACCCGUGGCUAAGGCGGCUCUCUAGUACGGUACUGACGCUGAGACGCGAAAGCGUGGGGAGCGAACAGG
RNAcentral lists this ribosomal RNA (253 nucleotides) under uncultured bacterium. RNAcentral describes it as "partial 16S ribosomal RNA". It matches the Rfam family "Bacterial small subunit ribosomal RNA", at positions 524 to 776 of the family's 1533-position model. The record is from RNAcentral.